ACUGAUGUAACUCAGUGGUAGAGUAUUUGCCUAGCAUGCACAGGUCCUGGGUUUGAUCCCCAGCUUCACAA
This 71-nucleotide transfer RNA is filed under the name Marmota marmota marmota (Alpine marmot). It matches the Rfam family "tRNA". Rfam says of the family: Transfer RNA (tRNA) molecules are approximately 80 nucleotides in length. Their secondary structure includes four short double-helical elements and three loops (D, anti-codon, and T loops). Further hydrogen bonds mediate the characteristic L-shaped molecular structure. tRNAs have two regions of fundamental functional importance: the anti-codon, which is responsible for specific mRNA codon recognition, and the 3' end, to which the tRNAs corresponding amino acid is attached (by aminoacyl-tRNA synthetases). tRNAs cope with the degeneracy of the genetic code in two manners: having more than one tRNA (with a specific anti-codon) for a particular amino acid; and 'wobble' base-pairing, i.e. permitting non-standard base-pairing at the 3rd anti-codon position. RNAcentral also lists the same sequence under 1 other name. Lineage: Eukaryota; Metazoa; Chordata; Mammalia; Rodentia; Sciuridae. The record is from Rfam by way of RNAcentral.